AGUUUGAUCCUGGCUCAGGAUGAACGCUGGCGGCGUGCUUAACACAUGCAAGUCGAACGGUCGCAAGACAGUGGCGCACGGGUGAGUAACACGUAGCUCAUUUGCCUUCGGGUCUGGAAUAACGUUCCGAAAGGAAUGCUAAUACCGGAUAAGCUCACGAGCUGUAGAUGCUUGUGAGAAAGGAUUUAUCGCCUGAAGAGAAGGCUGCGGCCCAUCAGGUAGUUGGUGUGGUAACGGCACACCAAGCCAACGACGGGUAGGGGACCUGAGAGGGUGAUCCCCCACACUGGGACUGAGACACGGCCCAGACUCCUACGGGAGGCAGCAGUGAGGAAUAUUGCGCAAUGGGCGAAAGCCUGACGCAGCGACGCCGCGUGGGUGAUGAAGGUCUUCGGAUCGUAAAGCCCUUUUCUGCGUGACGAGACAAGGACGGUAGCGCAGGAAUAAGUCUCGGCUAACUACGUGCCAGCAGCCGCGGUAAGACGUAGGAGGCAAGCGUUAUCCGGAGUUACUGGGCGUAAAGAGUGCGUAGGCGGACUGGUAAGUAGUUCGUGAA
Molecule: ribosomal RNA, 556 nt
Filed under: uncultured bacterium
Lineage: Bacteria
Description: bacterial SSU rRNA
Rfam family: Bacterial small subunit ribosomal RNA
Source: RNAcentral